This 427-nucleotide ribosomal RNA is filed under the name uncultured bacterium. Its description in RNAcentral is "partial 16S ribosomal RNA". It matches the Rfam family "Bacterial small subunit ribosomal RNA", at positions 355 to 774 of the family's 1533-position model. The record is from RNAcentral.
UGGGGAAUAUUGCACAAUGGGCGCAAGCCUGAUGCAGCCAUGCCGCGUGUAUGAAGAAGGCCUUCGGGUUGUAAAGUACUUUCAGCGGGGAGGAAGGCGAUAAGGUUAAUAACCUUGUCGAUUGACGUUACCCGCAGAAGAAGCACCGGCUAACUCCGUGCCAGCAGCCGCGGUAAUACGGAGGGUGCAAGCGUUAAUCGGAAUUACUGGGCGUAAAGCGCACGCAGGCGGUCUGUGAAGUCGGAUGUGAAAUCCCCGGGCUCAACCUGGGAACUGCAUUCGAAACUGGCAGGCUAGAGUCUUGUAGAGGGGGGUAGAAUUCCAGGUGUAGCGGUGAAAUGCGUAGAGAUCUGGAGGAAUACCGGUGGCGAAGGCGGCCCCCUGGACAAAGACUGACGCUCAGGUGCGAAAGCGUGGGGAGCAAACA